This 473-nucleotide ribosomal RNA is filed under the name uncultured bacterium. RNAcentral describes it as "bacterial SSU rRNA". It matches the Rfam family "Bacterial small subunit ribosomal RNA", at positions 26 to 518 of the family's 1533-position model. The record is from RNAcentral.
CGAGGACGAACGCUGGCGGCGUGCUUCAUACAUGCAAGUCGAACGAGAAACUGACUUCGGUCAGUGGAAAGUGGCGGACGGGUGAGUAAAAUGUAGAGAAUCUGCCCUAGAGAGUGGGACAACAGAGGGAAACUUCUGCUAAUACCGCAUAUGCGCGUAGCUGAGAUGCUAUUCGUGAAAACUCCGGUGCUCUGGGAUGAGUCUGCAUCUGAUUAGCUAGUUGGCGGUGUAAUGGACCACCAAGGCGACGAUCAGUAGCUGGUUUGAGAGGAUGAUCAGCCACAAUGGGACUGAGACACGGCCCAUACUCCUACGGGAGGCAGCAGUAGGGAAUUUUGCGCAAUGGGGGAAACCCUGACGCCAGCGACGCCGCGUGAGCGAAGAAGUAUUUCGGUAUGUAAAGCUCUAUCAGCAGGGAAGAAAAUGACGGUACCUGACUAAGAAGCCCCGGCUAACUACGUGCCAGCCGCCGC